This 430-nucleotide long non-coding RNA is filed under the name Nicotiana benthamiana. Its description in RNAcentral is "long non-coding RNA (NBEN_LNC035637)". The record is from RNAcentral. Lineage: Eukaryota; Viridiplantae; Streptophyta; Magnoliopsida; Solanales; Solanaceae.
UUGAACCGAAAAUGACUAAGAAAGAGACCUUAGUAAGCAACUUCUCUUUUCUGAACUUGAUUAGUACAAUAUCUCUAUGCCAAACAAGUGCACUGAAUCAAGAGUGAAUCGACAAACACGGAAAAUCUAGUGUCAAAGCUUCUAAACUCAAACAGUAACCUCGACUGAAAAUCGAAACUCGAAUUGUCCAAAAUCGUAAGACCGGCUAGAUCUGAAUAGUUUCAGGCCAAUAUCUGGCUGAUUUUAGGUGUCGAUUGGGCUGCUUCGAAAUUGUUUUGCUGAAGAAGAUGAAUUUCAAGCUGGGGUGAGGUCUCCCGUUACCAGCGGCGCUUGAUUUUUUAUUUUUUUUGGAUUUUUUUCCCAGGCGUUCAUUUUUGUCCUCUGUUGCGUAGCUUCCCCCUUCAAUAUAUCAAGCGUUAGUUUUGUAUCU